This 407-nucleotide ribosomal RNA is filed under the name uncultured bacterium. Its description in RNAcentral is "partial 16S ribosomal RNA". It matches the Rfam family "Bacterial small subunit ribosomal RNA", at positions 28 to 526 of the family's 1533-position model. The record is from RNAcentral.
GACGAACGCUGGCGGCGUGCCUAAUACAUGCAAGUCGAACGCCGUUGCGAACGGGUGAGUAACGCGUAGGUAACUGCCUCAUAGCGGGGGAUUACUAACGGAAACGCUAGCCAAUACCGCAUACUGUUAGAUGGACCUGUGUUGUAUUAGCUAGUGGGUGAGGUAAAGGCCCACCAAGGCGACGAUACAUAGCCGGCCUGGGAGGGGGAUCGGCCAACCUGGGACUGGGACACGGCCCCGACUCCGUCGGGGAGCAACAGUAGGGGAACAUCGGCAAUGGGCGGAAGUCUUGCCGAGCAACGCCGCGUGAGUGAAGAAAGUUUUCGGGGCGUGAAGCUCUGUUGUGAGAGGAGCGGUAACUAACCAGAAAGGGACGGCUAACUACGUGCCAGCCGCCGCGGUAAUAC